CUGUGCUAGGCGGGGAACUAGCGGUGCCCUGCACCCGCAAUCCGCUACAGCGGGGCUGAAUUCCCGGCCGAGGUCCGCGACCUUCGCCUCCCACGACAUCGUCCGACGUUGAGAGUCGGGUCCCACGCAGCGAGAGCCCGCGAACCCCGUCAGGUCCGGAAGGAAGCAGCGGUAAGCGACCGUUCUCGGGUGCCGUGGGGCGACCUGGCUGGAGCCGGAUGAUGGGCGCGCGCGCGGAGGCCAACGAUCGACGCCGGGUGCACGG
Molecule: signal recognition particle RNA, 265 nt
Filed under: Chloroflexota bacterium
Lineage: Bacteria; Bacillati; Chloroflexota
Description: Chloroflexi bacterium signal recognition particle sRNA large type
Rfam family: Bacterial large signal recognition particle RNA
About the family: The signal recognition particle (SRP) is a universally conserved ribonucleoprotein involved in the co-translational targeting of proteins to membranes. Archaeal SRP consists of a 7S RNA and homologues of the eukaryotic SRP19 and SRP54 proteins.
Source: RNAcentral